AUGCCUUUGGCUGUUGGAGACAUCAGGCUGUACACAUACCUGCUGCAUAUGAAAUUCCUGAUGAUGCACGCAACAUACAGGGAAUUAUACAUUGACCCAGAAAAGAAAGAAGAAACUCCAGAAAUAAAACAAAUACAAGGACAAUUUCUGAUUCAGUUUGCAUUGAGAACAAUAGUUGCCCAUAGAGGCAAACCCAGCAGGGCUUGAGUUACCAGGACCCUCACAGGACUCUGCUCACCAGCAGAACCUCCCAGGAUAGAUAAUGCUUUGCUGUCAAAUUGUGCUUCAGGACACUCUCUCCUGCCUUCUGACCAGCAGAAAAACUCCUGCCCUCAAUUCCUGAGACCAGAAGUGUAGGGCCAGCCUCUGAGAGUUCUCCCCCAGUUCCCAGGCAGCUGAGUCCUGAUGGCAAUGGAGUGGAGAGUUCCCUUCCCCUUCCUUCCUCAAAGCAGCUUUGGCCUGCCUAGGAGAAGCCAGCUUUCUUCUGUCCAUGGGGCCCAGGAACCAAGACCCUAAGUGUUUCUCAAUCAGAUUAUCAUAGCAUUCCUUUUGACAAGAGUCAAGUCAUGUGACAUUAUAUACAACUCUUUAUAAGGAGUGACGUUAAGAUGUCAAUGUCGACCAGCCACUUUGGGAGGCUGAGGCCGGCGGAUCACCUGAGGUCAGGAAUUCAAGAUGAGCCUGCCAGCAUGGUGAAACCCUGUCUCUACCAAAAAUACAAAAAUUAGGCAGGCGUGGUGGUGGGUGCCUGUAAUCCCAGUUAUUUGAGAAAUUAAAGCAGGAGAAUCACUUGAACCGGGGAUGGAGGUUGCAGUGAGCCAAGAUUGUGCCACUUGCAUUCCAGCCUGGGUGACAGAGUGAGACUCUGUCUGAAAAAAAAAAAAAAAGAGAGAGAGAUGUCAAUGACACUGUGACGUCAUAUUUUUAAAACACUGUUUAGAGGGCCAUUGUUUUGUAUGCACUCAAUCUUUAAUAUGAACUGUAAGUCAAAGUUAUAGAUUUCAAAUAUAUUAAACAAGAUGUUCAAAAUACAGCAUCAUUGUAUUCUGAUGUUGUUAACAUUGGGAUAGUCUCUCUUCACCUACAGAGUCAGUUUUGUUAUUAAUGCCCUAGCUAAAUACACACCCACACUGCCUUUGUCACUUGUAUUUGUGUGUCUGUGUGUAAUACAGCUCACUGUCGAUACAUAAAUUUUUUUCACAAACUUCUGACAAUACGAAGAAGACAGGGCAGGGUUCCCAUUUCUUAGUGUUUAGAGCAUGCCAGUCACACCAGCCAGG
Molecule: long non-coding RNA, 1280 nt
Filed under: Aotus nancymaae (Ma's night monkey)
Lineage: Eukaryota; Metazoa; Chordata; Mammalia; Primates; Aotidae
Description: lncRNA (ENSANAG00000038556.1)
Source: RNAcentral